GGGCGCAUGGUGUAGUUGGUUAUCACAUCCGCUUAGCACGGUUCUUAAUACUGAUGUUUGCGGGGGGUGCUGGGUUCAAUUCCCAGUGCGUCCA
Molecule: transfer RNA, 94 nt
Filed under: Polyporus arcularius HHB13444
Lineage: Eukaryota; Fungi; Basidiomycota; Agaricomycetes; Polyporales; Polyporaceae
Rfam family: tRNA
About the family: Transfer RNA (tRNA) molecules are approximately 80 nucleotides in length. Their secondary structure includes four short double-helical elements and three loops (D, anti-codon, and T loops).
Source: Rfam by way of RNAcentral